CCAAGACAAGCUCCCCAUGGGGUGUCCAUGCUAUGGCUUUCACCGACCAGACGAUGCUGCCAGGAAGCUGGGAGGAAGGGGCAGGCAGGGGGGCACCCGACCUUCAACAGAUGUGAGGACAUAUGAACUCUCAGGGCAACUAUGGCCAACAGCCGUGAGCCAUGAGUCACCGCUUCCUCAGUGCAGUCCCUUGUCUUAAAAGCGCUCCCAUCAGGCCUCAUAUCCAGCGGGCAGCAGAUGCGCUCCUAUGGCACCAGGCCCAGGAAGACAGCACCAGAAGCCCCAGACCCAUCAAAAACCACAGACACCAGAAGCUGCCGCUCAUCUUAUUUUUUUACAAAAUAAAGCUCUUCCCUUCCUCCUCCAUGUUCCCUGCACUCCAGUUCCGACCCCAGAGCAGGAGGGAAGACGGGCAGGGCGCCCACUACAUGGCAUGUUCCUGCUCCUGGGGCACCACACUGCCCCGCUGUGAGGACUCCAGCCCGCCCCAGAAGCCGAGGUUUCUCCUGAGCGAGUCCGAGUCCCAGGAUUGUGAUUCGAGGCAUCCUGCCCAUCCCCAGCAGCAGAGAGCAACGGCAGGUGCGAGGAGCAGCUCCCAGGAUCUUACCUGCCAUCAAACCGAUGCUUCAAGAAGUCAAAUAAAGCUUUCUGCAUCA
Long non-coding RNA from Homo sapiens (human), 656 nucleotides. RefSeq annotates it as CACNB1 antisense RNA 1. NCBI's taxonomy places the organism in Eukaryota, Metazoa, Chordata, Mammalia, Primates, Hominidae. The transcript has 4 exons. The record is from RefSeq and is a predicted model, not a curated record.